This 338-nucleotide long non-coding RNA is filed under the name Sorghum bicolor (sorghum). RNAcentral's name for it is "long non-coding RNA (SBIC_LNC003396)". Lineage: Eukaryota; Viridiplantae; Streptophyta; Magnoliopsida; Poales; Poaceae. The record is from RNAcentral.
GCCUCCGCUUCCUUCCCGUGGCUUCUGGAGUCUUCUAGAUGUAAAAUAAUUGCGCGUCAUGUUGAUAUCUCUAUGUAAUCCCGACGUGUGGGCCUUUCUUCCGUAUUUCCUGAUAACCUCCUGUAGAAAUAGACAAACACCAAAACUCAUAGAAUUCUGUCAGAUAAAAUCCUAAGUCUAGAUGUUGAUUUCAUUUAGAUCCUUUUCUUUGUUUAUUUGAUAAUUAAAUUUGAUACUUAAGGACCGUCAACAAACUCCCCCAAGCUUACCUCUUGCUCGUCCCUGAGCAAGGAUAGACUCAGCAAUGGAUCAGAAGUUGUUGCAAUAUCUUAAAAAUU